RNAcentral lists this ribosomal RNA (505 nucleotides) under uncultured bacterium. RNAcentral describes it as "partial 16S ribosomal RNA". It matches the Rfam family "Bacterial small subunit ribosomal RNA", at positions 28 to 507 of the family's 1533-position model. The record is from RNAcentral.
GACGAACGCUGGCGGCGUGCCUAAGACAUGCAAGUAGAACGCACAGUUUAUACCGUAGCUUGCUACACCAUAGACUGUGAGUUGCGAACGGGUGAGUAACGCGUAGGUAACCUGCCUGGUAGCGGGGGAUAACUAUUGGAAACGAUAGCUAAUACCGCAUAAUAUUAAUUACUGCAUGAUAAUUAAUUGAAAGGUGCAAUUGCACCACUACCAGAUGGACCUGCGUUGUAUUAGCUAGUAGGUGAGGUAACGGCUCACCUAGGCGACGAUACAUAGCCGACCUGAGAGGGUGAUCGGCCACACUGGGACUGAGACACGGCCCAGACUCCUACGGGAGGCAGCAGUAGGGAAUCUUCGGCAAUAGACGAAAGUCUGACCGAGCAACGCCGCGUGAGUGAAGAAGGUUUUCGGAUCGUAAAGCUCUGUUGUAAGAGAAGAACGGGUGUGAGAGUGGAAAGUUCACACUGUGACGGUAUCUUACCAGAAAGGGACGGCUAACUACGUG